This 78-nucleotide transfer RNA is filed under the name Camponotus floridanus (Florida carpenter ant). It matches the Rfam family "tRNA". Rfam says of the family: Transfer RNA (tRNA) molecules are approximately 80 nucleotides in length. Their secondary structure includes four short double-helical elements and three loops (D, anti-codon, and T loops). Lineage: Eukaryota; Metazoa; Arthropoda; Insecta; Hymenoptera; Formicidae. The record is from Rfam by way of RNAcentral.
GUCUGGAUAGCUUAGUGUCUGCUCUAGAGCAGUUGCCCUGAAAAGCGAAAAACUCGGGUUCGAUUCCCGAUUCAGCCA